GACCCAGUACUGGUGGCUCCCACUAAAUGUAUAUUUUUCUGAGUAAUCUCAUCAUCUGUGUAUAAACUGUGUCUAUCAUCUCUGCAGACUAUAUGCCGCUGCAACCUCUUGAAGACGAGAAUGACACUGUUAUCAGUUUCUUAUAUCCUCUAGAACCCCCGGUGAAGCAGGGCAGAACAAGAAGAGGCAGGUUUCAAUCUCGAAGUGGACAGCUCUUUGCUGUGGCACUUUUUGAUUCGUGAUGGUCUCGGAUGAAAAUCUCGGGCUGAGAAGAAUGAACGAUAUAUGCAAAAGCUCACAAGGAGCAGGCUGAGAGAGAUAGAAUUGGAGACACUUUAGACUUUGAAAUUAAGAGGUGGUCCACUGGAAAACAGGGCAACUUGCGCGCUUUGUUAUCAACUUUACAAUAUGUGAG
Zea mays is the source of this 415-nucleotide long non-coding RNA. RefSeq lists it as uncharacterized. The record is from RefSeq and is a predicted model, not a curated record. The transcript is spliced from 3 exons. NCBI's taxonomy places the organism in Eukaryota, Viridiplantae, Streptophyta, Magnoliopsida, Poales, Poaceae.